UUUAGAUACCCUGGUAGUCCAUGCCGUAAACGAUGAGUGCUAAGUGUCCUUUAGGGUUCCGCCUCUCAGUGCUGCAGCUAACGCAUUAAGCACUCCGCCUGGGGAGUACGACCGCAAGUUUGAAACUCAAAGGAAUUGACGGGGGCCCGCGCAAGCGGGGGAGCAUGUGGUUUAAUUCGAAGCAACGCAAAGAACCUUACCAGGGCUUGACAUCUAGUGCCAUCCUAAGAGAUUAGGAGGUCCCUUCGGGGACACUAAGACAGGUGGUGCAUGGGUGUCGUCAGCUCGUGUCGUGAGAUGUUGUGUUAAGCCCCGCAACGAGCGCAACCCUUGUUAUUAGUUGCCAGCAUUAAGUUGGGCACUCUAAUGAGACUGCCGGUGACAAACCGGAGGAAGGUGGGGAGGACCUCAAGUCAUCAUGCCCCUUAUGACCUGGGCUACACACGUGCU
Molecule: ribosomal RNA, 450 nt
Filed under: uncultured bacterium
Lineage: Bacteria
Description: bacterial SSU rRNA
Rfam family: Bacterial small subunit ribosomal RNA
Source: RNAcentral